AACUACUAAGUUUAAAACAAAUGCCUUGAAAGCAUUAAUAAGAGAUCCUCCCUAGUAGUUA
RNAcentral lists this transfer RNA (61 nucleotides) under Pseudocrangonyx joolaei. Its description in RNAcentral is "tRNA-Ser". The record is from RNAcentral. Lineage: Eukaryota; Metazoa; Arthropoda; Malacostraca; Amphipoda; Pseudocrangonyctidae.